AGGUGUUACAGCUCUUCUAGAAUUUGUCUAGCAAGUUUUCCGGUCUCUAUGGGAAGACACAC
Otolemur garnettii (small-eared galago) is the source of this 62-nucleotide small nuclear RNA. Its record names the gene U7. It matches the Rfam family "U7 small nuclear RNA". From Rfam's summary of the family: Animal histone pre-mRNAs are spliced by a different mechanism than nuclear pre-mRNAs and self-splicing introns. This processing involves the U7 snRNP, which contains only one RNA species: U7. The record is from Ensembl. NCBI's taxonomy places the organism in Eukaryota, Metazoa, Chordata, Mammalia, Primates, Galagidae.